GAUCCUGGCUCAGGAUGAACGCUAGCUACAGGCUUAACACAUGCAAGUCGAGGGGCAGCAUUUCAGUUUGCUUGCAAACUGGAGAUGGCGACCGGCGCACGGGUGAGUAACACGUAUCCAACCUGCCGAUAACUUUUCGGGGAUAGCCUUUCGAAAGAAAGAUUAAUACCCGAUGGUAUAAUCAGACCGCAUGGUCUUGUUAUUAAAGAAUUUCGGUUAUCGAUGGGGAUGCGUUCCAUUAGGCAG
Molecule: ribosomal RNA, 246 nt
Filed under: uncultured bacterium
Lineage: Bacteria
Description: partial 16S ribosomal RNA
Rfam family: Bacterial small subunit ribosomal RNA
Source: RNAcentral